GAACGCUGGCGGCGGCCUAACAAUGCAAGUCGAACGGUAACAUUUCUAGCUUGCUAGAAGAUGACGAGUGGCGACGGGUGAGUAAUGCUUGGGAACUUGCCUUUGCGAGGGGGAUAACAGUUGGAAACGACUGCUAAUACCGCAUAAUGUCUUCGGACCAAACGGGGCUUCGGCUCCGGCGCAAAGAGAGGCCCAAGUGAGAUUAGCUAGUUGGUAAGGUAACGGCUUACCAAGGCGACGAUCUCUAGCUGUUCUGAGAGGAAGAUCAGCCUCACUGGGACUGAGACACGGCCCAGACUCCUACGGGAGGCAGCAGUGGGGAAUAUUGCACAAUGGGGGAAACCCUGAUGCAGCCAUGCCGCGUGUGUGAAGAAGGCCUUCGGGUUGUAAAGCACUUUCAGUUGUGAGGAAAAGUUAGUAGUUAAUACCUGCUAGCCGUGACGUUAACAACAGAAGAAGCACCGGCUAACUCCGUGCCAGCAGCCGCGGUAAUACGGAGGGUGCGAGCGUUAAUCGGAAUUACUGGGCGUAAAGCGCACGCA
This 542-nucleotide ribosomal RNA is filed under the name uncultured bacterium. RNAcentral's name for it is "bacterial SSU rRNA". It matches the Rfam family "Bacterial small subunit ribosomal RNA", at positions 31 to 573 of the family's 1533-position model. The record is from RNAcentral.